AUACGGAGGGAGCUGGCGUUGUUCGGAAUUACUGGGCGUAAAGCGCGCGUAGGCGGCUUGCAAGUAGAGGGUGAAAUCCCAGGGCUUAACCCUGGAACUGCCUCCUAAACUGCAGAGCUAGAAUCCUGGAGAGGUGAGUGGAAUUCCUAGUGUAGAGGUGAAAUUCGUAGAUAUUAGGAAGAACACCAGUGGCGAAGGCGACUCACUGGACAGGUAUUGACGCUAAGGUGCGAAAGCGUGGGGAGCGAACAGGAUUAGAAACCCUAGUAGUCC
RNAcentral lists this ribosomal RNA (273 nucleotides) under uncultured bacterium. Its description in RNAcentral is "partial 16S ribosomal RNA". It matches the Rfam family "Bacterial small subunit ribosomal RNA", at positions 523 to 796 of the family's 1533-position model. The record is from RNAcentral.